Molecule: ribosomal RNA, 483 nt
Filed under: uncultured bacterium
Lineage: Bacteria
Description: bacterial SSU rRNA
Rfam family: Bacterial small subunit ribosomal RNA
Source: RNAcentral
AACUAACGCUGGCGGCGUGCCUAACACAUGCAAGUCGUACGAGAAAGCCGGCUUCGGCUGGUGAGUAAAGUGGCGCACGGGUGAGUAACGCGUGGAUAAUCUGCCCUUAAGUGCGGAAUAACGUACCGAAAGGUGCGCUAAUACCGCAUAAUGCCUGGCAACACAAGUUGUCCGGCCAAAGAAGGCCUCUGUUUACAAGCUUUCGCUUCAGGAUGAGUCCGCGUACCAUUAGCUUGUUGGUGGGGUAAUGGCCUACCAAGGCUGCGAUGGUUAGCUGGUCUGAGAGGAUGAUCAGCCACACUGGAACUGAGACACGGUCCAGACUCCUACGGGAGGCAGCAGUGAGGAAUAUUGCGCAAUGGGGGCAACCCUGACGCAGCAACGCCGCGUGAGUGAGGAAGGUUUUCGGACUGUAAAGCUCUGUCGAGCGGGAAGAAGUGUACCAUGGCUAAUAUCCAUGAUAUUUGACGGUACCGCUAGAGG